Molecule: long non-coding RNA, 1176 nt
Filed under: Heterocephalus glaber (naked mole-rat)
Lineage: Eukaryota; Metazoa; Chordata; Mammalia; Rodentia; Bathyergidae
Description: lncRNA (ENSHGLG00000050566.1)
Source: RNAcentral
GGAUCAUCGUCUCGGUCCUAGAGGAAUCCUGCUGGCUUGAGGGGUGGUCUGGUUUUCAUGAAAUGGUUGUCUUUGUUAGCAGCAGUCUCAGUCAUGUGAGACUGUGCUUUUCCAGGGGCCCAGGUGACCGAAGGAGUAGACAGUGGCUGGAGUGUUCGAGGCAAUGCUCUGGAAAGGGGUCAGAGCCAGACACUGAAAGCUGGCCAUGGCUGCCCCUGCACAUCCUGAGAAUUACUUCGGUCACCCUUGUCUUGGGGCCCUCCGUCUUGAAGGGGGAUGAGAUACACUCCCUAAGUUUAGGGCUGGUGAACCUGGUCUCUACAACUUUUCCUGAAUGAUUAACAUGCCUGUACCCAAGUUUUGACGCGAUAAUUAAGGACACCAAAUGAAGGUAGACUUUGUUCUACUUGUAGUUACCUAUUAUAAUCUGCUAGGCCCAAGAGAAAAGUUAGGGUAAAACCAAGUUAAGUCUCUGACUCUUUCAAAGAAAAUGCAAUUGUGCUUUUAAUGAGUAACAGGUUAAGGGCCCAGGAGUUUACUUGUCCUCCAUUCCUAUGUGGUGUCUGACUACGUCAUGACUAUGUCAAGGCCUGUGAUUGUGACUGCCAGCCAUCUGCUAGCCUGCAGCUUCCUCUUUCCCUCUGUUCAUCCUGACUGCAGCACCCCAGCACCAGAAGGGGACACAUUAUGGCCAUUGUGACCAGCUGAUGUCUCUGGGGCCUGAGUUAUCCAGCCAGCUGUGUGUACUCAGCCACAGCAUGUGGCCAGGCGGUUGCUCAGUGGUGGUCAGCUGCGCUCCACUUCCCUCCCUCGCACACCUGCUCAGGUGUGAAGCUCUUCUUCCUGCCACAGGGGCCACAAUCACACUCAGCUGCCUUCUGCUUCUCAGAGCCCAGAGUCGCUUUUGGCCGCAAUGCAGCCACACCCAUGGGGUCAAAGUCCUACCCGAGAGCCCCUCGGCCUUCGUCCCCAGCAGGACCCCAUCCAUGACCACCAACACCCUGGGCCACUGGCCCCCAGCCUGUGUGUCCACACUGGGAAGAGGCUCCAGCUGGGUCAGGGGUUUGGGGGCUGCUGCAGGACAUAUCACCCCCAUCCCCGGCAAGGGGCUCAGCCUUGAGGCCCUCAGGUUUGUCUCCAGCCCCCCAUCAAGUCCAGGGACGGGCUUCAGAGAGC